AGUUGAUCCUGGCUCAGGAUGAACGCUAGCGGCAGGCCUAACACAUGCAAGUCGCGGGGCAGCACGGGUAGCAAUACCUGGUGGCGACCGGCGCACGGGUGCGUAACGCGUAUGCAACCUGCCCCCAUCAGGGGAAUAGCCCGCCGAAAGGCGGAUUAAUGCCCCAUAGGCCCAGGGCGCCGCAUGGCGCUAUGGGUAAAGCUCCGGCGGAUGGGGAUGGGCAUGCGUGCCAUUAGCUAGUUGGGGCGGUAACGGCGCACCAAGGCGACGAUGGCUAGGGGGUCUGAGAGGAUGGUCCCCCACACUGGUACUGAGACACGGACCAGACUCCUACGGGAGGCAGCGGUGAGGAAUAUUGGUCAAUGGGCGGAAGCCUGAACCAGCCAUGCCGCGUGCAAGGAUGACGGCCCUACGGGUUGUAAACUGCUUUUACAUAAGACUAACCGUAUAUUUGCGAAUAUACCUGAAUGUAUUAUGAGAAUAAGGAUCGGCUAACUCCGUGCCAGCCGCCGC
This 513-nucleotide ribosomal RNA is filed under the name uncultured bacterium. RNAcentral describes it as "bacterial SSU rRNA". It matches the Rfam family "Bacterial small subunit ribosomal RNA", at positions 10 to 518 of the family's 1533-position model. The record is from RNAcentral.